Molecule: ribosomal RNA, 249 nt
Filed under: uncultured Actinomycetales bacterium
Lineage: Bacteria; Bacillati; Actinomycetota; Actinomycetes; Actinomycetales
Description: partial 16S ribosomal RNA
Rfam family: Bacterial small subunit ribosomal RNA
Source: RNAcentral
GGGGUGCUCGAGUGGCGAACGGGUGAGUAACACGUGAGUAACCUGCCCUUGACUUUGGGAUAACUUCAGGAAACUGGGGCUAAUACCGGAUAGGAGCUCCUGCUGCAUGGCGGGGGUUGGAAAGUUUCGGCGGUUGGGGAUGGACUCGCGGCUUAUCAGCUUGUUGGUGGGGUAGUGGCUUACCAAGGCUUUGACGGGUAGCCGGCCUGAGAGGGUGACCGGCCACAUUGGGACUGAGAUACGGCCCAG